GGUGGAUGUAGUUCAGCUGGUUAGAAUGUCGGAUUGUGGUUCCGAAGGUCGCCGGUUCGAGUCCGGUCUUCCACCC
This 76-nucleotide transfer RNA is filed under the name Bacteroidales bacterium. RNAcentral's name for it is "tRNA-His". It matches the Rfam family "tRNA". Rfam says of the family: Transfer RNA (tRNA) molecules are approximately 80 nucleotides in length. The record is from RNAcentral. Lineage: Bacteria; Pseudomonadati; Bacteroidota; Bacteroidia; Bacteroidales.